This 765-nucleotide ribosomal RNA is filed under the name uncultured bacterium. RNAcentral describes it as "bacterial SSU rRNA". It matches the Rfam family "Bacterial small subunit ribosomal RNA", at positions 76 to 836 of the family's 1533-position model. The record is from RNAcentral.
GAGCUUGCUCCCCGGGUGACGAGUGGCGGACGGGUGAGUAAUGUCUGGGGAUCUGCCCGAUGGAGGGGGAUAACUACUGGAAACGGUAGCUAAUACCGCAUAACCUCGAAAGAGCAAAGUGGGGGACCUUCGGGCCUCACACCAUCGGAUGAACCCAGAUGGGAUUAGCUAGUAGGUGGGGUAACGGCUCACCUAGGCGACGAUCCCUAGCUGGUCUGAGAGGAUGACCAGCCACACUGGAACUGAGACACGGUCCAGACUCCUACGGGAGGCAGCAGUGGGGAAUAUUGCACAAUGGGCGCAAGCCUGAUGCAGCCAUGCCGCGUGUAUGAAGAAGGCCUUCGGGUUGUAAAGUACUUUCAGCGGGGAGGAAGGGAUGAAGGUUAAUAACCUUCGUCAUUGACGUUACCCGCAGAAGAAGCACCGGCUAACUCCGUGCCAGCAGCCGCGGUAAUACGGAGGGUGCAAGCGUUAAUCGGAAUUACUGGGCGUAAAGCGCACGCAGGCGGUUUGUUAAGUCAGAUGUGAAAUCCCCGGGCUCAACCUGGGAACUGCAUUUGAAGCUGGCAAGCUUGAGUCUCGUAGAGGGGGGUAGAAUUCCAGGUGUAGCGGUGGAAUGCGUAGAGAUCUGGAGGAAUACCGGUGGCGAAGCGGCCCCCUGGACGAAGACUGACGCUCAGGUGCGAAAGCGUGGGAGCAAACAGGAUUAGAUACCCUGGUAGUCCACGCCGUAAACGAUGUCGACUUGGAGGUUGUGCCCUUGAG